GCUCGAGUGGCGGAAUUGGUAUACGCGCAAGAUUAAGGAUCUUGUGGUCUUUCGACCUUGGGGGUUCGAGUCCCCCCUCGAGCA
RNAcentral lists this transfer RNA (84 nucleotides) under Verrucomicrobiales bacterium. Its description in RNAcentral is "tRNA-Leu". It matches the Rfam family "tRNA". Rfam says of the family: Transfer RNA (tRNA) molecules are approximately 80 nucleotides in length. The record is from RNAcentral. Lineage: Bacteria; Pseudomonadati; Verrucomicrobiota; Verrucomicrobiia; Verrucomicrobiales. RNAcentral also lists the same sequence under 1 other name.